AAAAAUGAGAAAUUUAGCUCAAGUUUGAAUAUAGUCUGAAGUCUGAACAACUUUCAGUCCCAGAAAUCGGAAUUCUCAGUAUAAUGCAUAAUGAAUAGGAUAGAAGCUGACAAAUAUUCUCGUAACAUAAAAGGGAAAUUAAAUUCUAAACACAUAUCAAGGCAUCUCCUUCCUAUUACAAGAAUCCUAUAGUAUAUGAUAUGUUGAAAAUAAUUGCAUAAUUAAGCUCAAAUUGGAUCAACAUCACAAUUGCAUAAGCAAUGCAACUAAUUAAUUAAACCUUAUCACAGAAGACGACGUGGUUGACGAACACUAAGUAACUUCACAUCAUCUAAUACAGGACCACAGAGAGAACCAGAGUUGUCACUUUUCAUGGUAUAAAAUGAGCUCAGGAACAUAACCCUCGUGCGUGUUGACACAGCCUUGAACUGGAAUCUGGCACGCUUGAACCCUCCUUUGCCCUUGGAUUGAUAAGGAACUUCAAUUUUAUCCUUUCCUGCAUAUGCCUCUAUUACCAUGGAUCCCUCGCAUGAAUUGUUAGAAUCUCCCACAUUGAAGGUUAGGAUAUAGGUCUUUCCGGGUAUGGUCUUAACUAUCUGUGCAAGGGCACUUUCUUUUCCUGCCACAAGUUCAACGGCUCGUUUGCCUUCUGGGACUGAAAAGUGAGCCGAGUCUAUGUACUUUACUGCCUUGAGAGAUUCAAUUAUCCAGCCAGGUAAAGGACUGUGAUCAUCUUCAAUUUGGGGUGGUAUUAGGACGCCCCAGUCUGCGUUGGGGAACACAUAUGGUCCCUCUUCAAAAUUUCCAUUCUUUAGCAAGUUGCUUCUGGUACGCUUGGGAUUAGAUAGAAACUUCAGUGCUACAGAAUCAAUAAGUGGGCCGCAGGCAGGAUCCUCCUCCACACCUGGGUUGUGGAUAGUGAUCUCAACUUCAGAAGCAUCAGCCUGGAAAGCCCAAGCAUAUGUAUCCCACCCAUUGCUGCUAUACAUUGUUUGCAUUGGCAGGAUUCCCCAAUCAUUUGGCUCUGAAUUCGGUGAAACAGAAACAUUUAGCUUCUCCUCUUGGGCACAGGUGCGAGCUACGUUGAAAGUUAUAGAGUAAUAGCUGUUCUUUGUGACAUUAAUCUUCUGCUUGAUGAAUGCUUCAUUGCCUAAUCUAACUGCAAAAGCUCCACCAGGCACAACUAGUAGCAUGUCGCCUUGUUUUUGGCCUGAUUUUAUGUACUCAACAUAGCCUGAAAUUUCCCAGUUAGGGAUAGCAUUCUUUGCUGUUACUACUGUUCCUUUCAUUUGCGAUGGCUUUGGGCCGUACUCAAAGUCCCCAUUUGGCAAUAAACCGUCGGUCACCGAGAAAGCGACGUGACAGGCGGUGCAAAGAAGUAGUAGCAGCACCGUGGCUCUGUACAUUGUGGCUGUUGUAGCCUCGGCGAGAGAGAGAGAGAGAGAGAGA
This 1449-nucleotide unclassified non-coding RNA is filed under the name Hevea brasiliensis (rubber tree). The record is from RNAcentral. Lineage: Eukaryota; Viridiplantae; Streptophyta; Magnoliopsida; Malpighiales; Euphorbiaceae.